AAGACAUCAUGAAUGAGAUUGUGAAGGAUGCAUUUGAAUUAUGUGAACCUGCUUUUCAGUGUAAGAGUAAUGACAUGAGUAAGAGGAAAAUUAAGGGAAAGAGUAAGGGGAAGAGUAAGGGAAAGAGUACGGAAACAAGUUUAUCUUCCCUGAUCCAGUCACUUGAUACUAUUGAUUUGAAUCCUUCAUACAACUACUGGUGAUCAUUUCAUUUAUAAGGCAAAUCUCGUGUUAGAUAUUCA
Molecule: long non-coding RNA, 242 nt
Organism: Solanum pennellii
Lineage: Eukaryota; Viridiplantae; Streptophyta; Magnoliopsida; Solanales; Solanaceae
Exons: 2
Source: RefSeq, a predicted model, not a curated record